RNAcentral lists this ribosomal RNA (408 nucleotides) under uncultured bacterium. RNAcentral describes it as "partial 16S ribosomal RNA". It matches the Rfam family "Bacterial small subunit ribosomal RNA", at positions 28 to 526 of the family's 1533-position model. The record is from RNAcentral.
GACGAACGCUGGCGGCGUGCUUAACACAUGCAAGUCGAACGAAGUGGCGAACGGGUGAGUAACGCGUAAUCAACCUGCCCUUCAGGGGGGGACAACAGUUGGAAACGCCUGCUCAUACCGCAUACUGAAGGAGGGGACUGCGUCUGAUUAGCUGGUUGGAGGGGUAACGGCCAACCAAGGAGAUGAUCAGUAGCCGUGCUGAGAGGAUGAACGGCCACAUUGGGACGGAGACACGGCCCAGACUCCUACGGGAGGCAGCAGUGGGGAAUCUUCCGAAAUGGACGAAAGUCUGACGGAGCAACGCCGCGUGAGUGAUGAAGGCUUUCGGGUUGUAAAGCUCUGUUAUGCGGGACGCGGUACCGGAAUAGAAAGCCACGGCUAACUACGUGCCAGCAGCCGCGGUAAUAC